UACGUAGGGUGCGAGCGUUAAUCGGAAUUACUGGGCGUAAAGCGUGCGCAGGCGGUUGUGCAAGGCCGAUGUGAAAUCCCCGGGCUUAACCUGGGAAUGGCAUUGGUGACUGCACGGCUAGAGUGUGUCAGAGGGGGGUAGAAUUCCACGUGUAGCAGUGAAAUGCGUAGAUAUGUGGAGGAAUACCGAUGGCGAAGGCAGCCCCCUGGGAUAACACUGACGCUCAUGCACGAAAGCGUGGGGAGCAAACAGG
RNAcentral lists this ribosomal RNA (253 nucleotides) under uncultured bacterium. RNAcentral describes it as "partial 16S ribosomal RNA". It matches the Rfam family "Bacterial small subunit ribosomal RNA", at positions 524 to 776 of the family's 1533-position model. The record is from RNAcentral.